Molecule: ribosomal RNA, 433 nt
Filed under: uncultured bacterium
Lineage: Bacteria
Description: partial 16S ribosomal RNA
Rfam family: Bacterial small subunit ribosomal RNA
Source: RNAcentral
AACGAACGCUGGCGGCAGGCUUAACACAUGCAAGUCGAGCGAGACCUUCGGGUCUAGCGGCGGACGGGUGAGUAACGCGUGGGAACGUGCCCUUCUCUACGGAAUAGCCCCGGGAAACUGGGAGUAAUACCGUAUACGCCCUUUGGGGGAAAGAUUUAUCGGAGAAGGAUCGGCCCGCGUUGGAUUAGGUAGUUGGUGGGGUAAUGGCCCACCAAGCCGACGAUCCAUAGCUGGUUUGAGAGGAUGAUCAGCCACACUGGGACUGAGACACGGCCCAGACUCCUGCGGGAGGCAGCAGUGGGGAAUCUUAGACAAUGGGGGCAACCCUGAUCGAGCCAUGCCGCGUGAGUGAUGAAGGCCUUAGGGUUGUAAAGCUCUUUCAGCUGGGAAGAUAAUGACGGUACCAGCAGAAGAAGCCCCGGCUAACUCCGUG